This 684-nucleotide unclassified non-coding RNA is filed under the name Bradyrhizobium sp. STM 3063. RNAcentral describes it as "partial 16S-23S ribosomal RNA intergenic spacer". The stretch from base 100 to 172 matches the Rfam family "tRNA". The record is from RNAcentral. Lineage: Bacteria; Pseudomonadati; Pseudomonadota; Alphaproteobacteria; Hyphomicrobiales; Nitrobacteraceae.
UCAGUUGGUUAGAGCGCGCGCUUGAUAAGCGUGAGGUCGGAAGUUCAAGUCUUCCCAGGCCCACCACACUCAUCGGGUAAGCAUUCGUCUUCUGGUUACGGGGCCAUAGCUCAGCUGGGAGAGCGCGUGCUUUGCAAGCAUGAGGUCGUCGGUUCGAUCCCGUCUGGCUCCACCAGAUGGUUUGAUCACCGACGCUGUGUUUGCAGCUAUUCAACCGUCGUCCGCGAAACAUCACUUCGCACCUACUAGUCUGGAUAGACAGUAGGUUGCGUGAUUUCUGACAUCGUAAAGAGGAGAUCGAUCCGAGUUGGAUCGGGCAGCAAGCAAUUGCUGCGCGAACCUUCAUUAUCUCCGGAUCAUUUCGGCGCUCGCGCGCCUUUCAAUGCGGCUCACAAGGCUGCGUCUGAGGGGAAUGCGGGUUGUAAAUGAUCCUUUUAGCGAAGCUUGACCGCCUCGCUAUCGGAACGAUCUUACGAAGCAAGCUGGUCUUUCUAAUCAUUGUCCGGCUGUACGUAGCGUUCAUCGAGGGCGCGUGCCGCAAGGCAAUCGUACAGACAACAUUCUGCCGAGUGUGUGGACAUUGAUAAUGAGAGCAAUCAAGUGCCUUAAGGGUGUUCGGUGGAUGCCUUGGCGCUGAGAGGCGAUGAAGGACGUGCUACGCUGCGAUAAGCCGUGGGGAGCUGC